This 69-nucleotide transfer RNA is filed under the name Ictidomys tridecemlineatus (thirteen-lined ground squirrel). RNAcentral describes it as "Spermophilus tridecemlineatus (thirteen-lined ground squirrel) tRNA". It matches the Rfam family "tRNA". Rfam says of the family: Transfer RNA (tRNA) molecules are approximately 80 nucleotides in length. Their secondary structure includes four short double-helical elements and three loops (D, anti-codon, and T loops). Lineage: Eukaryota; Metazoa; Chordata; Mammalia; Rodentia; Sciuridae. The record is from Rfam by way of RNAcentral.
GGGGUUGUGGCUCAGAGGCAGAGCACUUGCCUGGCAUGUAUGAAACACUGGGUUUGAUUCUCAGCACCA